Molecule: unclassified non-coding RNA, 221 nt
Filed under: Hevea brasiliensis (rubber tree)
Lineage: Eukaryota; Viridiplantae; Streptophyta; Magnoliopsida; Malpighiales; Euphorbiaceae
Source: RNAcentral
GAUUCGGAUAGUUGAGAAUAAAUUUUAAUAGAGCUUGGGAUGACUUUAAGUUUUUGGGAAUAUUAAUCGGAAUCCGAUAAGGUGAUUUUGCCAGGUACCCUAUCCGUUACUAUCUCUAGACUCAUCACCUGUCUGGUCUAGCCCAAUUUUGAAUUAGAAUUUAUGGUUCAAGUUUUAAAGAAAGAAAGAAUCGGAAUUAAAAUUAAUCAGAUUGAUUUUAG